This is a small nucleolar RNA of Mesocricetus auratus (golden hamster), 121 nucleotides long. RefSeq annotates it as small nucleolar RNA SNORA72. The record is from RefSeq and is a predicted model, not a curated record. Lineage: Eukaryota; Metazoa; Chordata; Mammalia; Rodentia; Cricetidae. The transcript has a single exon.
AUACCCAUAUAUAUAUAUAUAAAUAAAAAUGAAUAAAUCUGAAGGGGGUGGAAGUUCCACGAGUGUGCCCCCAGGGAUAGUUCUUUCCCUAGGUCUGGUUUUACAAAUUCUGGUGAUAAAC